AAAAGAUUUAAAAGUUUUUACACUUCAAGGUUGUGAUAGAAAUUAGUCAGGAGAACCAACAAUGUUUUCAUUUAUUGAAAGUUUCCGAAAUAUAUGCCGACUGGGGAUAAUGUAAGAGGAAAGUUUCGGAGAAGGUAGAGCAUGCGAUCAAUCCAACCCAUCGGCCGCUCCAGCCGUUGCUGUGAGGGCAAAUGCAGAGGACCGGACUAAAAGUCUCCACUGAGAUGCCACUUUCUUGGGAAGUCUUCCUCACCCCCAAGCCCAGAUUCUGCGACUUUCCUGUUUUCCUAUAGCAAAGCACAUCUCUUGGGCUUCUUCAUGAUGUAUUGAAAUGUCCUCUCUACUUGUCUGGGUCCACACUAGCCCGUACAUAAUGACGGCAUGUGCCCUGACUGGGAACCGAACCGUGAUCCUCGAGUUCGUAGGCCUGCACUCAAUCCACCAAGCCACACCAGCCAGGACUGUGCUGUCUUUUUCAUGGGAGAGACAGAAAACGAGGGCCUGGUCCACUUUGGGUAAUUGAAGGGUGAGUGACGCAUCUUGAAAGUGAAGAGGUGUGAAUUCCAGUGCCCUGGCCCGAUUCCAAACCGCAUAAUUAUACCUUCCCCCUUCUGCCUAAAAAUGUUCCUCCGAGUUGCAGCUGAAAAAUAAAUUAUUCACUUCCUCUACUGAAUGUUACCACCGUGGCUUACUUGUAAGACAUCAUCACGCUUCUUUAGCAGGCCCUUCCUCUGUUUCAUGGAAGAAUCAAGUUUCCCUUACAAGGUGGCCCAGAAUAAAAUAUGCUGUUUUACAUACCUUCCCAUACUUUCUUGGAUGAUAUGAUAAGGAUGGUUAACUUUGUCCUGGGAAGGAGAUAGAUAGAUAGAUAGAUAGAUAGAUAGAUAGAUAGAUAUUAGUCAAGUAAUUGAAAGGUCAAGUAAUAGAAAAUUAUAAAUGUUAGAUUUAUUUGAACUAUUGUACGAAUGCUUCAUUUACUCCACAGCUCACCUCUCACACAACUGGUGGUUAUGACAUCUCAGGAUGGUUGUCAACAUGAUCAAACAAAAGGGAUUGUUUUAGCUGUAACUGAUCAAAAUAGAGAUCAAGGUGACUUGCAAAUGUCUUUCUAAACUGGAUUCUGCUUUGGCUUUAAUGUGUAAUUUGAAGCCCAAAUAUAAUAAAUUAUAAUAAAGUAUAACCUGAAAUUUGUGUCAAUUAAUUAUAUUGGAAGUGUUGUAACACAGAGUAAUCAAAGUAAAUGUCUCUUUAUCAAAACCGAUGGCAACCUUUUUAACACUCUGUAAACAUGAAUAGAAAUCCUAGCUGAAUAUUCACAGAAAUGAAGUACAGAAACAAACAAAAAAGAAAUCCGUUUUUCUUGAGAAAUCGGUUUUGAUCACUCUUCCACUUGAGAUGAACCACUACUCAAAUUUAUUAAAGUUGCAUGCUUUAGUAAACUAGUGAACUACUAACAUUUACUGAAUAAUGUCUUCAGCACUGUGCCAGGUCCUUUGUGUGUAUUGUCCUCCGGAGCGGACCGUGGGCUUCCCCGAGUGUCAGAGGAGGGAAGGGGGUCUAAGCCAACCACCCCAUUUCACUGCUGGGGAAAAGGAAUCAAGCAAUUCCAAAAUCAUCUUUUAUGCUAAAAUAAACACAUUGUGUCAUGAAAGGACUUCAAAGUUUAGAUUAAUUUUUGGAUCAAACAAUUGAAAGGAAGGCUGCACCUGUAAUCAAGAGACUGCUUGGUAGAUGAAGAGAGAAACAAAUGAUCAGAAAAACUAUAAGUUAAAUGACUGUUCUGUGAACAAUAAUGGCUUUAAUACUGUGACAUCAUGUUUCAUCGUGGUUCAAGAAAUCUCUAUGUUUUCAAUUUUUUAAUCUAAAAUUUUAAAGUGUUUUAAUCCACUUCUAGCAGAGUUUAUCCUCUCAACCAGAGCAAGACUCUGACUCAGUAACAAUAGCUUACUCUGUAUGAAGCACAGAAAAUGCUAUGCCAGGAAUUAAACUCCUUCUCUAGCUACUAUCAUGCAUGUGCUUAUACAGUAAAACCACACAAUUCUAUCUCUGUGGUUGGGGUACAGAAUGUAUGCUGUGCCAUUUGAUCUGGCUUGUAGGUAUGCAUGUCCAUACACUCAAAUGCUUCUCUUUUUUUUUUUUUUUUCUGAGAAGGAGGGAAAAAACCCAGUAUUGAGCAGUUUGUAAACUGAAAUUUUGAUUUUUUUAAAAAUGAGCCAUUUUAGGAUUUUAUCAUUUUGUUUCAUUUCUUGCAGUUCAAAAUUGUUUCUAUAUGAUGUACCUUGCUAAUUAUUGUUUUCUUCCUAAGGUAAAUUACAGCUUUGCGAAAUGGUCCACGCUCUUCACAAAAUACUGUGAAACUAUGAAUUACAGGAGCCUUCCAUGGAGAUAAUGAAGAUCAAAUAACACUGCCUUUCUAGGCUGCCUUUCUUUCCAAGCUCUUAUUUCAUCAACACCAUGAUGGCUACCCCAGCAUUUUUGUAAUUCCCACGAAAAAUAACAUAUCUAACAGUUAUCCAACUUGUUAGAUAACUAUAGUUAUAGUUAGAUAACUAUUAGAAUUUUAAAUUUAUACUUCUUAGUGGAAGGAUGUUUAUUGUAUAAGUGCUAUUCUUUGCCCAACAGAGUCCUUGUUCUUGGGUGUGAGGAUGACGGUUGUACUAAUACAGACUCUGGCAGAAGGAAUGCCCGCCCGACUGUGCUUGGCAGGAUCGUAAUAUAGGUAUAAUAGUUUAUAGUUUUAAUUUGAACAUUUCACAUAAAAUAUCAUAUGCUGUGCUUGAGUGUGAUAUUGCUCUGUUACAGAAUUCCAUGCUUAUGAUUUUGUAGUGAAGAAAGAGGCAUUAUUUGUGCCGGACCCUGUAUGUUGCAGCAUUACUGAGACGGGACUAAACCCUAAACAGGACUAAACACUGAAACUUUGAAAGAGAAUGAACUGUUUCACUUCUGUAGCAUAUUCUUCUUUCUCUACUGCAUCCCAGUAGCAUGAGCCAUGUUAGAAAUGGUCUGUGAUUAACUGUACCCCUAACUCAUUUCCAGGGCCAAACCUUAGGCAAUCCUGGGGAGCCCUGGAGGGCUCAGCAAUCUUCCAUGAUGUCCCAUCAGGUUGGGUCACCAGAUUCAGUCCUAAGCACUUGCCAUUUCUCAAGCAUAAUACUAACCAGCCACGCUUAUCAUUAUUUACACCAUAUAUGUCUUUCCCUUUGGAUUGUAAGCCCUGUGAAAGCAAGGCCUGCAACUUACUCAAGUCUAUCUCCCUAGGACCUAGCAAGAGCUCCUGGCAUAUACUCAUUGUUUAAUUAAUAUGGGUUGAGUGGCUACUUAAUCCAAAACAAGGCUUACCUUCAUAAAUUAGACCAUCAUAUUUAUUUCUCUCAUUCUAGCUUACAACGAGCCUACUUGGCUAUGAACAGCUGAGAGGGGGAGUGGGGAGGGGAGAUACGUGGAGCAAACGGAAGUCUCUACAGGGGCCAGCCCAGGCUGGUCAUGGCAGUUUCCCAUGAGCCUCGCUGCUCAGCCCAGCUCUCUCACUGUAGCCACGUGGCAACGCCAGACCUGACUUUUUCUUUUGAUAAGACGUAUAUGUUAUAUGAAAUGAUCAUAUUAGCAACAUUUUCUGAUUUUUUAAAAUACACUUUAGGCCAUAAAUAUGUCUGCAGCCAUCUUUAGCAGGCACGUAGUAAAUCUGCAAUCUCUGAUCUCUCUUCUGUUCUUCCCUAGUAUAUACAUUUGCAAAGAAAUGUCUCUUGGUAGUUACUGCUUCUGUUUGCUAAGAUACCUAGUAUUAUUACUAAAAUCAAAGUUAUAAUUAAACUUUUCUACAUUUCUUUCCAGGUUCUUCAGGUUCUUUGGUUCAAUAUUAACUCUGCCUCUCCUCCACAAGUGGGGUUCUCCUGAUGAUAAAAUGUUGCUACAGCUCAGCCCCGAACAGAGCCAUGUUUUGAAUGUCUUCACCACUCACAUAAUCAACUGGAAACAACUAUUUCCUGUCCCUUUGACCCAUACUGAAGGUGGCCGAAGGUGUGCACAGUCCUGGCUCAGCUUUAAGGUCUUUUUCUUCAAGGUUAAUAUAUACGCAUCAUCCCACAAGUCAUAUCAACAAGAUUAUGUGAAAUUUAUUUAGUUUUAAAGAUUUUAUUUAUGUUUAGAGACAGGGGAAGGGAGGGGAAAAUGAGGAAGAGAAAUAUUGAUGUGCAAGAGAUACAUCGAUCUGUUGCCUCCUUCAUGAUGCCAAUGGGGAACUUGACCCUCAACCCAGGCAUGUGUCCUGACUGGGAAUUGAACCAGCAACCUUUCGGUUUGCAGGCUGGCACUCAAUCCACUGAGCCACAGCUGCCAGGGCAGAUUAUGUUUAAUUUAGAUCAAAGCCACAUCAGACUUCUAUUUUUGCACACAUUACUCAAUUUUGAGACUAUUCAUAUGGACUUUCGAUAAUUUCUAUUCUACCUUCUAAACCUUCUUUUUUUCCUAUGAGAAAAAGUUGGUGAUUACCUCUAAU
Artibeus jamaicensis (Jamaican fruit-eating bat) is the source of this 4495-nucleotide long non-coding RNA. RefSeq lists it as uncharacterized. The transcript has 3 exons. Lineage: Eukaryota; Metazoa; Chordata; Mammalia; Chiroptera; Phyllostomidae. The record is from RefSeq and is a predicted model, not a curated record.